Molecule: ribosomal RNA, 364 nt
Filed under: uncultured bacterium
Lineage: Bacteria
Description: partial 16S ribosomal RNA
Rfam family: Bacterial small subunit ribosomal RNA
Source: RNAcentral
CCUACGGGCGGCAGCAGUGAGGAAUAUUGGUCAAUGGACGGAAGGCUGAACCAGCCAAGCCGCGUGAAGGACGACGGUGCCAAGAAUUGUAAACUUCUUUUGUCAAAGGACAAAAUCAGACUCGAGAGCCUGACCGAGGGUACUUGAAGAAAAAGCAUCGGCUAACUCCGUGCCAGCAGCCGCGGUAAUACGGAGGGUGCAAGCGUUACUCGGAAUCACUGGGCGUAAAGAGCGCGUAGGCGGUAUAACAAGUCAGAUGUGAAAUCCUAUGGCUUAACUAUGGAACUGCAUUUGAUACUGUUAUUCUAGAGAAUGGGAGAGGUAGGUGGAAUGUAUGGUGUAGCGGUAAAAUCCGUAGAGAUCA